Molecule: ribosomal RNA, 405 nt
Filed under: bacterium enrichment culture clone ALO1_GLFRUDD03F9AND
Lineage: Bacteria
Description: bacterial SSU rRNA
Rfam family: Bacterial small subunit ribosomal RNA
Source: RNAcentral
GAGUUUGAUCAUGGCUCAGAUUGAACGCUGGCGGCAUGCCUUACACAUGCAAGUCGAACGGCAGCACGGGAGCUUGCUCCUGGUGGCGAGUGGCGAACGGGUGAGUAAUGCAUCGGAACGUAUCCUGGAGUGGGGGAUAACGUAGCGAAAGUUACGCUAAUACCGCAUAUUCUGUGAGCAGGAAAGCGGGGGACCUUCGGGCCUCGCGCUCUUGGAGCGGCCGAUGUCGGAUUAGCUAGUUGGUGAGGUAAAGGCUCACCAAGGCGACGAUCCGUAGCAGGUCUGAGAGGAUGAUCUGCCACACUGGAACUGAGACACGGUCCAGACUCCUACGGGAGGCAGCAGUGGGAAUUUUGGACAAUGGGGGCAACCCUGAUCCAGCCAUGCCGCGUGAGUGAAGAGGCC